This is a long non-coding RNA of Cyprinus carpio (common carp), 2217 nucleotides long. The record is from Ensembl. Lineage: Eukaryota; Metazoa; Chordata; Actinopteri; Cypriniformes; Cyprinidae.
GAUAUCAUGGGAUGCCUCUUUCGAAGGGAGGAGGUGUGUCUGGUCUAGCUCUUCAGUUUGAUGGAUACACUACUGUUCAGAAGCUUGGGGUCAGUAAGAUUUGUUUUGUUUUUAAAUUAAUACAUCAAAAGUGAGAGAUAAGAAUUUUACAUUGCUAUAAACUACUGUAUGUUCUUUUGAACUUUCUAUUAAUCAAAGUAUCCUGAUUUUCAAUUUCUAUAAUCCCAUUUAUAAAUGAAUAAUAUAAAUUGAGAAUCUCUGUUUUCUCCACACACAUACCUUCGUGUACCCUUAGGGUUUGGAGGAGAGAGAUGGAAUACUUCAAGGGGUAGGAAAGCAGGAUAGUGGAUGCCACAGUGGAAGAUACGUGUGCAGAAGUGUAAAGCUGUGCAGAUGGUCCUUAACCUUUGUAGCCCUUCAGUUACAGACAAGUGUCUCAUCGCAGAUGCCUGAACUUCCCCUGCUGCAGAGCGCUCUGAUAGAAGGAAUGAUUAGAUAAGACUAUUUAAUAAACUGUUUCACAAAAAAAAUGUCACAAAGUCAAGUGUGAUUUUCAAGUAUUGAAGUAUAGAGGGUGAGGGCUAGAAAUGCAAGAAGUUUCUUCUUUUCUCAUUUAGCUACAGCAGGAUUCGGAGAAGUGAAUUUUGCAAUGGAGUAUUGUUUUUUUUGUCCUUUCUGUUUUUUAGAGAAAGAGUGGUAGCAGUGUGGACUACCUGCACCCACAUCUCCCCUUCAACACUCUUUAGCACCAACAUAUUCACUUCCAGCUUCCAGAACAUUGUGGAUGCUUAUGGUGUGGCAUGUUACAGAGAGGUUAAUCCAGAUUUGGCAUAUGCUGUUUGGUGGGAGAUAUCUGAUUCUUCUGAUGGGGUUGUUCUCCAUUUAUACUGGUGCUGUUUAUAAUGAGUGCUUCAGUAAAGGACUCAAACCCAUGAUGCAGCCCUACAACUGGAGGUACAUGCACAAUAUUACAGCCAAGGCAAAGAUUAGUGUUCAUGCUGUGUCUUUUUGGGUAUUAGUAAAUAAUUACAUUUUUGAAUAUAAAUUUGAACUGAAAUCAUAAAAGUGUCACAAACCAUAACAAUGUGCCCAACAUAGUUGACAGUCAAUAUACUCAAUGAAAAUAGGUUAUUGUAGAUUGUAGAAAAUACUGGGAAAAAAAAUAAGAGGCCUUUUACAAUAAUGUGUUCAAAAUGUUCAACACAGAAGAAAAUAACAUCACAUGAUGCUGGUUGCAUGUUGUAAUGAACCAUUUUUAGGGGCAAAGGGUUGUUCAUUAAGUAACACAGUGAACAGAACUUUUGUAAAUGAUUCAUAUUUUCAAUAUUUUUAAUUUAAACUCAAUAAUUUUUUUUCUAAAGCAUUUAGGUUUUAGAAAUGAAUUGAAUAUUUAAUUUAAUGCUCACAUCUCAGCUUGUCUAACAGACUUUUCUUGCUGGAUGAAGGCCCAUCACCUUCAACUCAACCUUACCAAGAGAGAACUGCUUGUUUCAUCACAAUUUCACCAUUCAGUUAGGCACAUCAACCAUAACUCCUUCAAAAACAGCCGAAAACCUUGGAGUUAUGAUUGAUGAUCAGCUGACUUUAUCAGACCACAUUGCUAAAACUGUCCAGUCCUGCAGAUUUGCUUUAUUCAACAUUAAGAUCAGGCCCUUUCUUUUCGGAACAUGCUACACAACUCCUUGUUCAAGCUCUUGUUCUGUCCAGGCUGGACUAUUGCAAUACUCUCUUGGCAGGUCUUCCAGACAGUUCUAUCAAACAUUUACAAUUAAUCCAGAACGUGGCAGCAAGAUUGGUUUUUAACAAGCCAAAAAGAAUGCACGUCACACCUCAGUUUAUCAAUUUGCAAUUACCACAAUAGCUGCUCGCAUAAAAAUCAAGGCAUUGAUGUUUGCCUACAAAACCACCACUGGCUCUGCACCCCUUUACCUAAAUUCAUUACUUCAGACUUAUCUGCCCUCUAGAAGCUUGCAUUCUGCAAGUGAACGUCACUUUAUUGUGACAUCUCAAAGAAAUGGUCACAAAAUCACAGUAAAAGGCGGUACUAAAGUAUGAUUUUGUGGUGGAUGUGUUAAAAUUUUAUCAUCUUAAUUCAAGUGAUGAAGGAUUUGGAAAGUCUGACAGUGUUGAGCACUACUGUAAGGUUAAAGGUGUAAAUGUUUGAAAAUGACUAACAGUUGAAAAUAAACAUUCAUUAGAAAUUUAGAAAAGUAAUCA